AUUACCGCGGCUGCUGGCACGUAGUUAGCCGGUGCUUAUUCUUCAGGUACCGUCAUCCUCCUAGGGUAUUAGCCCAAAGGAUUUCUUCCCUGACAAAAGUGCUUUACAACCCGAAGGCCUUCUUCGCACACGCGGCAUUGCUGGAUCAGGGUUUCCCCCAUUGUCCAAAAUUCCCCACUGCUGCCUCCCGUAUGAGUCUGGGCCGUGUCUCAAUCCCAGUGUGGCUGAUCGUCCUCUCAGACCAGCUACUGAUCGUCGCCUUGGUAGGCCUUUACCCUACCAACUAGCUAAUCAGCCAUCGGCCGCUCCAAUAACGUGAGGCCUUGCGGUCCCCCACUUUCCCCCUCACGGCGUAUGCGGUAUUAAUCCGGCUUUCGCCGAGCUAUCCCCCAUUACUGGGCACGUUCCGAUGUAUUACUCACCCGUUCGCCACUCGUCAGCGGAGCAAGCUCCCUGUUACCGUU
RNAcentral lists this ribosomal RNA (464 nucleotides) under uncultured bacterium. RNAcentral describes it as "partial 16S ribosomal RNA". The record is from RNAcentral.